Molecule: ribosomal RNA, 497 nt
Filed under: uncultured bacterium
Lineage: Bacteria
Description: partial 16S ribosomal RNA
Rfam family: Bacterial small subunit ribosomal RNA
Source: RNAcentral
GAUGAACGCUGGCGGCGUGCCUAAUACAUGCAAGUCGAGCGAACAGAUGAGGAGCUUGCUCCUCUGACGUUAGCGGCGGACGGGUGAGUAACACGUGGAUAACCUACCUAUAAGACUGGGAUAACUUCGGGAAACCGGAGCUAAUACCGGAUAAUAUAUUGAACCGCAUGGUUCAAUAGUGAAAGACGGUUUUGCUGUCACUUAUAGAUGGAUCCGCGCCGCAUUAGCUAGUUGGUAAGGUAACGGCUUACCAAGGCAACGAUGCGUAGCCGACGUGAGAGGGUGAUCGGCCACACUGGAACUGAGACACGGUCCAGACUCCUACGGGAGGCAGCAGUAGGGAAUCUUCCGCAAUGGGCGAAAGCCUGACGGAGCAACGCCGCGUGAGUGAUGAAGGUCUUCGGAUCGUAAAACUCUGUUAUUAGGGAAGAACAAAUGUGUAAGUAACUAUGCACGUCUUGACGGUACCUAAUCAGAAAGCCACGGCUAACUACGUG